This 482-nucleotide ribosomal RNA is filed under the name uncultured bacterium. Its description in RNAcentral is "partial 16S ribosomal RNA". It matches the Rfam family "Bacterial small subunit ribosomal RNA", at positions 30 to 507 of the family's 1533-position model. The record is from RNAcentral.
AUUGAACGCUGGCGGCAUGCUUUACACAUGCAAGUCGAACGGUAACAGGCCGCAAGUUGCUGACGAGUGGCGGACGGGUGAGUAAUGCAUCGGAACGUGCCCAGUCGUGGGGGAUAACUACUCUAAAGAGUAGCUAAUACCGCAUACGAUCUAUGGAUGAAAGCGGGGGACCGUAAGGCCUCGCGCGAUUGGAGCGGCCGAUGUCAGAUUAGGUAGUUGGUGGGGUAAAGGCUCACCAAGCCAACGAUCUGUAGCUGGUCUGAGAGGACGACCAGCCACACUGGGACUGAGACACGGCCCAGACUCCUACGGGAGGCAGCAGUGGGGAAUUUUGGACAAUGGGCGCAAGCCUGAUCCAGCAAUGCCGCGUGCAGGAAGAAGGCCUUCGGGUUGUAAACUGCGUUUGUACGGAACGAAACGGCUCUGGUUAAUACCCGGGGCUAAUGACGGUACCGUAAGAAUAAGCACCGGCUAACUACGUG